This 691-nucleotide long non-coding RNA is filed under the name Phoenix dactylifera (date palm). RNAcentral's name for it is "long non-coding RNA (PDAC_LNC017887)". The record is from RNAcentral. Lineage: Eukaryota; Viridiplantae; Streptophyta; Magnoliopsida; Arecales; Arecaceae.
GAUAAGAUGACGUGUCAUCUUUAUCCAAUCCAAGUGGCGCUUCUUCAUGAGGCGCCAUUCUAAAUUCACCGUAUUCCCUUCUUUCUCACGCCAUCUGAUGUUGACUAAGUCAAUAUCACAAGUCCAUCACGAGAUCAUGAUCUCCCAUCAUCCCAUGAUGAAGAUCCAAUGGCUCUAAUCCAUGGCGCCAUCCAUUUGAUCCUUCUCUUCAUCCAAAUGUUGAUCCAAUGGUCAAAAUUAAAUGUUUUGUCAAAUCUAAUCCAAUUAGACUCAAAUCAAGACAAUUAGGUGCCAACUAUUGGCUAACCCAUAUUAGAAUAUGAUCUAAUCAAAUUAGAUCAAUUAAGAAUCAGAUUCGAAUCCAAUUCGAAUCAGAUUCGAAUCCAGUUCGAAUCAGGAACACCUGCUAGGAUGUUUAUCUUGCAAACAUGAUCUAAUCCAAUUAGACCCUUGAUAAGUUUUCUUGUGUGUGACUCAUUGGGUUCCAUACUUAGCCAGCAAUAGGUGUGAGUGCGAGUUGACCCAACUUGAUUAGAACUCUUCUAAUCGAUUUAAGUCCAAACUGCGCGAACCCGAACUUAAUAAUUAGAAUCCUUUCUAAUUGGUAAUCGAAUUAAACUCUUUAGUUCGAUCAAACCUAUAAGACAAGAUUGACGUCUAGCAACGUGUCAUGUCUACCCGGAAAAUAUGA